RNAcentral lists this long non-coding RNA (1620 nucleotides) under Oryza sativa Indica Group (long-grained rice). Its description in RNAcentral is "lncRNA OsMH63_11G016550". Lineage: Eukaryota; Viridiplantae; Streptophyta; Magnoliopsida; Poales; Poaceae. The record is from RNAcentral.
UUGCGUCGUCAUCAAGCAGCAGUAGUAGCGUCUCCGGUCGUCGUCGAUCUGCCCGUCACCCCUUCCGCGUUCGGCCUCGGGACUGUACCCGUCACAGAUCUGUGCCGCGCAUGUCGUCCGCCAGCGUCCACCAAAUCCAAGCCGUCGUCAAAGGCAUUGGGUCUGAAGAAACGAAUUCACAAAGUACAGAGGAGGGCAAAGUUUGUCAGUUGUGUUAAUACUGUCAUACGGCACCAUGCUGGAACUGGGGUGAAGUCAUUCAUCAUCAAGAAAAACCUCAAUAAUCAGAAGUACACCCAUUAUCUUGACCGUUGGAUGUACUUCGCAGUCAGUUCAGGUGCCAAGGAACUGACUCUUGACUUACGUCCACAAAGGUUUAUUAAUUACCGUAAUAUCCAAUACAACUUCCCAUCAUCUAAUUUUGCUACCCCCAUGCCUACCUCCGUAGAACAUCUGAAGCUCUUGUUUUGCUAUUUGAGGCCUUCACCAACAUUUUUUGGCUUGAGUAACAGCUUUGUACGUAUAACUAAAGAAGAUUUGGAGAGCUUGUUAAGCUAUACAUUUUCCUUACAAGAGUUGAAGUUAAGUCAGUGUCCAAACAUAGAUCACUUGAGGAUCCCUGAUGUGCCAUCUAAGCUCAACUACCUUGAUAUUGAUUUAUGCUGGAUAAGAGCACUGGAAAUACACAUUCAAAAUCUAGUUAUCUUUAAUUACCAUGGAAGUGUUCGCUUUAGAAUCAUACAAGGAGAAGGAUCUUUGUUUAAAGAGGCACGGUUUCAGUUCUCGUGUGGGGACGCUAUAGAGUAUGCUAUCACAGAAAUGGCUUCAGCUUUGCCAAAUCUUGAAACGCUGUUUCUGAUUGGAUUUUCUAAGAUGGUUAUUCCAACCAGAGAUCCAAGACAUAGGUUCCAUUGCCUGAAGCACUUACAGCUGAAAAUGAUAAUGCUCUCAAAGAAAUACAAUAACCUCUGCCUUGUUUCUUUUCUUGAUGCUGCGCCAUUUUUGGAAUCACUUAUUGUGCAUGUAUGCAACGGAUCACUUUAUUAUCCUGGAAAGAAAACAGACUUGAGAAGGCUCGAGAAACGUGAACCGCAUAAAAACCUCAAAUUUGCGAAGAUGACCGGGUUUGAUGGAGAACGAUCAAGCAUUGAGCUUGCACUGCACAUCCUGGAGAGCUCAACUAACCUUGAGUGCCUCAUUCUGGAUCCUAGAAAAUAUAAAUCCGAGUGGAAAUAUAUUUAUGAAGAGAACUUGCGCGAUGUUCAGUGGAGAGUACAUAAUUUCACUAUUUCGGAAUACAUUGCAGAGGCAGUUCCUUCACAUGUUAAAUUAUUGUUUUCAUGAUUCUCAGGUAUGCGGCUAUAACCAUUGUCUUGAACUCUCCACCACAUUUGAGAUCGGGUUUGAGUUAUGAAGCCGGCCAUCUGCUGGUGUUGUCGUGCUCAUAGUUUUGCAUUUAUGGUGGUGCCUUUUUCUUUUGGGGAAAAAAUGUAUAUGCUCACUUCUCACAUGUACCAUUAAUUCUUGGUGUUGCUAGCUUAUCUCAAGCACAUAUCAGACAAUGAAUAUUUUCAUCCAGACUAGUACUAGUAGUUAUGCAAGUUCAAAAGGUUGAAUUUC